AAAGUGCCACCGAGAAAGGGCCGACCCAGCCCAUCUCGUACCGAGUCUUGAGCCGACUGCCGGUAACGACAGGGGUUAAGCGUAGACAGGGAUGCGGUAGGCCGUAAGCCGCAAGGCUGAAGUGAUGGAGCCCCGUUAAUGAUACUUGCGGGAGGGUCGAUGACGU
This is a non-coding RNA of Candidatus Competibacter denitrificans Run_A_D11, 166 nucleotides long. The record is from Rfam. NCBI's taxonomy places the organism in Bacteria, Pseudomonadati, Pseudomonadota, Gammaproteobacteria, Candidatus Competibacteraceae.